UUCCGCAAUUUUCGAAUUUAACGCGAGCGAAGCCGCGGGCAAAAGCUAGUUAUAAUAUUAUAUUGUGUUUCAUCCGAUUAAGAAAAAAAUCUGCUUAACACGUAUCCGAACACAAAAAGUAUCGAUCGUAUAUUCUCGGUCGACUUCGUGUGAUUUCGUCGUUGGAGCGACGCCAUUUUGUGCGCAGCGGGGCCACCUAUAAAUUGCUGCGGUGACGUCAGCGCCCCGCAUUUUAAAUCUCAUCGUGGUGCGCAGUGGACGUGAAAGUGUUGUGACAAGAUCUUCAAGUGAAUUUGCCUGGGUUGGAUUCAGUCCCAUUGCGUUUCGCGUGGGUCUGCAUCCAUCCGAUGGCCGCCAUCUUGGCUGUCGUGGGGCGCGGUCGCUGCUUACACAACAAUGGGUUUGUAACGGUAUCGUGCAUUUAUUUUAGUUAGUUAAUUUUGUGAUUCCAAAUGUAAAUAAAUAUUUCAAUUUCAAUCUAUUUCUCAAUAGUUAAAUUGGAAUUUGGUUAUAUUAUUCAUAUUGAAUAAGAUAAAUUGUAACAUAUGUUUAAGUAUGAAAAAUAAAAAGAAUUUUUCAAUUGAAA
This is a long non-coding RNA of Leguminivora glycinivorella, 586 nucleotides long. RefSeq lists it as uncharacterized. The transcript is spliced from 2 exons. The record is from RefSeq and is a predicted model, not a curated record. NCBI's taxonomy places the organism in Eukaryota, Metazoa, Arthropoda, Insecta, Lepidoptera, Tortricidae.